Molecule: ribosomal RNA, 758 nt
Filed under: Salmonella enterica
Lineage: Bacteria; Pseudomonadati; Pseudomonadota; Gammaproteobacteria; Enterobacterales; Enterobacteriaceae
Also listed under: 1 other name
Description: partial 23S ribosomal RNA
Rfam family: Bacterial large subunit ribosomal RNA
Source: RNAcentral
GUGGACGCCAGUCUGCAUGGAGCCGACCUUGAAAUACCACCCUUUAAUGUUUGAUGUUCUAACGUGGACCCGUGAUCCGGGUUGCGGACAGUGUCUGGUGGGUAGUUUGACUGGGGCGGUCUCCUCCUAAAGAGUAACGGAGGAGCACGAAGGUUGGCUAAUCCUGGUCGGACAUCAGGAGGUUAGUGCAAUGGCAUAAGCCAGCUUGACUGCGAGCGUGACGGCGCGAGCAGGUGCGAAAGCAGGUCAUAGUGAUCCGGUGGUUCUGAAUGGAAGGGCCAUCGCUCAACGGAUAAAAGGUACUCCGGGGAUAACAGGCUGAUACCGCCCAAGAGUUCAUAUCGACGGCGGUGUUUGGCACCUCGAUGUCGGCUCAUCACAUCCUGGGGCUGAAGUAGGUCCCAAGGGUAUGGCUGUUCGCCAUUUAAAGUGGUACGCGAGCUGGGUUUAGAACGUCGUGAGACAGUUCGGUCCCUAUCUGCCGUGGGCGCUGGAGAACUGAGGGGGGCUGCUCCUAGUACGAGAGGACCGGAGUGGACGCAUCACUGGUGUUCGGGUUGUCAUGCCAAUGGCACUGCCCGGUAGCUAAAUGCGGAAGAGAUAAGUGCUGAAAGCAUCUAAGCACGAAACUUGCCCCGAGAUGAGUUCUCCCUGAGACUUAGAGUCUCCUGAAGGAACGUUGAAGACGACGACGUUGAUAGGCCGGGUGUGUAAGCGCAGCGAUGCGUUGAGCUAACCGGUACUAAUGAACCGUGAGG